Molecule: transfer RNA, 64 nt
Filed under: Dendrobaena veneta
Lineage: Eukaryota; Metazoa; Annelida; Clitellata; Crassiclitellata; Lumbricidae
Description: tRNA-Arg
Source: RNAcentral
GAACAAAUAGCAAAUAAAUUGCAUGUCGAUUUCGGCUCGACAAGAGCCUAACGGCAUUUGUUUU